RNAcentral lists this ribosomal RNA (463 nucleotides) under Artemia parthenogenetic lineage. Its description in RNAcentral is "Artemia parthenogenetica partial 12S ribosomal RNA". Lineage: Eukaryota; Metazoa; Arthropoda; Branchiopoda; Anostraca; Artemiidae. The record is from RNAcentral.
GAAUUUUUUGAUUAAAGUACCUUUUAGGUGGUCAAAUGACUAGGAUUAGAUACCCUAUUAGUCCACUCUUAAUUAACCUGGGUAGUAGUAUCGAAACCUAAAGAAUUUGGCGGUUUCUAAACCUACUAGAGGAACCUGCCCCAUAAACGACAAUCCACGAAAAAAUUCACCCGGGCUAGUUAUGCAGCUUAUAUACCGUCGUUUAGAGGACUAAAUAAAUAGAUCCUCUUAAAAGCUUAGGCUAAUAAAUCAGAUCAAGGUGUAGCUCAUGCCCGGGAGAGGGUGGGUUACAAUGAAAAUUCAUACGGAGUUUCUAUUUUAUGGUAGAAAAGAAGGUGGAUUUAGAAGUAAGACCUAAUAUACUGAAAAAGGCUCUCAGAAAUGUACACAUCGCCCGUCGCUCUCUUGUCCGAAGAGAUAAGUCGUAACAAAGUAGGUGGACCGGAAGGUCUAUCUCGAAAGA